Molecule: transfer RNA, 69 nt
Filed under: Saccoglossus kowalevskii
Lineage: Eukaryota; Metazoa; Hemichordata; Enteropneusta; Harrimaniidae
Description: tRNA-Phe
Rfam family: tRNA
About the family: Transfer RNA (tRNA) molecules are approximately 80 nucleotides in length. Their secondary structure includes four short double-helical elements and three loops (D, anti-codon, and T loops).
Source: RNAcentral
GUUAUGGUAGCUUAGCCAAAGCAUGGCACUGAAAAUGCCCAUCCGGAGGUUAAACCCCUCCCCUUGACA